UAGAUGUCCAUUCUGCACAACAGGUCAUCCAGUCUACACAUACUAGGGAAUAGUGACCUUUGGAUUUCCCUUCUUUGAACUCUUGAAAAUAUUUAGGCCAUGUUUAUCAGAAAGUAGAGGUAAGUUUUGAGGCGCGCAGUUUUAGAGUGGCUAGAUCAAUAUUUCAUUAGCAAAAACCAAAGCACACCCCCAAACAAUAUAUUUCUCACUCCCAUGGAGAAAUGUGGAAUGUUAACAUGACUUAAGAGCUACGUGCCUCAAAAGGACAUUUCUACUGACCUUUGUUUCUUUUCUUGCAUCCUCCUUUUCUGCUGUUGUCCCUUCUUAAUACCGUAAUGCUGAAUACUCCUUCCAUUUGGUCUUUGGUGUAGCCUUUUCCACUUUCACCUGCAGCAGACGCAUUGCCCUCCUUCGUGCUACUGGGCUUACUUUGAUCAUUGCUACUGGCUGGUUUUCGGCAGUAAGCGCCUCCCCCAGCAGUACUUCCAUUCUUCGUAAUAGCUUCCAACAAAACUCGGGCCGUCUCGGUGGGGUAGAGCUUCUGGGCCUUGCCGAGGAAGCGGAGGGCGCGGUCGCGGUUGCCGGCCUCCAGCGCCUCCCGCGCGAUCCCGAUGCACUUCUCCGCCUCGUCCCGGUUCCCCUCCAUGGGCUUCUCCUUCCGCCGCCUCCGCCCGCCGCAGCGCAGAGAGAAGGGGCCCGAAGCCAGAGCGGAGCCGGGCGGGGCGGAGCGAGGAGCGGAGCGGCGCGGGCAGGAGGGCGGCCCAGGGCUCCCGUCACUCCGCCAGGCUCAUUCCGCCGCCUCGCCCCGCGCCGCCGGUCCCGCAGCCCAACCGCCGCUCGGCCCAGCAGCCGGCCCGGCCCACCGCCUCC
Molecule: long non-coding RNA, 870 nt
Filed under: Gallus gallus (chicken)
Lineage: Eukaryota; Metazoa; Chordata; Aves; Galliformes; Phasianidae
Source: RNAcentral